This is a long non-coding RNA of Bos taurus (domestic cattle), 576 nucleotides long. NCBI's taxonomy places the organism in Eukaryota, Metazoa, Chordata, Mammalia, Artiodactyla, Bovidae. The record is from Ensembl.
GAGUAUCCUGGAAUGUUUUCUGUGAGAAAAACAUUUAAUCUCUGGAGACAAUCCUACAGAGGCUCUGUCUCGGAAAGGAACCAUUAAUAAAUUGCACGUGUGGGUUGGCCUGGACUUGCUGAAACGUGAUCAAAGGGAGAGUGAUUUACACCAGCUCUCCCUUCCUAUUUGCUUUCUGGCUGUCAUGAGAGUGAAGAACCCAAUUAGAGGAAAAAACCGAGAGAUGAAACUCUUAACGACGUGAAAUCUAAUGGGAAAAUGGAUGGAUUUUUUUUUCCCCUGAAGUGACUUAGCAGCAGCAGCAGCGAAUCUCAAAACAGUACCAUUUCCACCCUGCACCUUUAUUUUUCUUCCUUCCCCCCUUGUCUGUCCCAUUAGUGAGGCCUGCUGGCAGGCCCUGAAUAGGAUCUGUGAUGAUCCGCAGGCCUCCCCAGAACAGUGACAUACACAUGCCUUGAGCAGCUGUGCUCGAGGGGAAGGAGCCAUGCAGUAGUUUUUCUCCCUCAAUGGGGAGUAACAUGUGCUGCUGUCCCUGGGACCCCAAGAUGUGGCUAGAUGGAGGGGAAGGGGACUUCC